Molecule: small RNA, 724 nt
Filed under: Pan troglodytes (chimpanzee)
Lineage: Eukaryota; Metazoa; Chordata; Mammalia; Primates; Hominidae
Description: retained intron
Source: RNAcentral
AAAUUACACUGUUGGCGUUGUAAGAGUUAGAUUUGAAGGAAGGAUAGACUGGUAGUAAGAUGACCAAUUGAGAGGCUGUUACAACAGUCCAGACAAAAGGUAAUGAGUGCCUGAAAUAGGGCAGUGUCAUUUGAAACAGAGUAAGAUGGCCAACUACAUGUUCAAGAUGUUUAGGAGGCAAUCUUGUUUGGACAGGCUCCACCAGUUCCUCUAAAACUGAAGCCUGAUUACUGGAGUGACAAACUACAGAAAGAAGCAGAGGCGUUUGCUUAUUAUCGCCGGACACACACUGCCAAUGAGCGGCGGCGGCGUGGUGAAAUGAGGGAUCUCUUUGAGAAAUUAAAGAUCACAUUGGGAUUACUUCAUUCUUCCAAGGUUUCCAAAAGUCUCAUUCUUACUCGAGCCUUCAGUGAAAUUCAGGGACUAACAGAUCAGGCAGACAAAUUGAUAGGACAGAAAAAUCUCCUGACUCGAAAACGGAAUAUUCUGAUACGGAAAGUAUCGUCUCUUUCAGGUAAGACAGAAGAAGUGGUCCUGAAGAAGCUAGAGUAUAUUUAUGCAAAACAGCAAGCACUAGAGGCACAAAAAAGAAAAAAGAAGAUGGGAUCAGAUGAGUUUGACAUGUCUCCCAGAAUUAGCAAACAGCAGGAAGGAUCUUCUGCAUCAUCUGUAGAUCUUGGACAGAUGUUUAUAAAUAACAGGAGGGGGAAACCUUUGAUUCUUU